GACGAACGCUGGCGGCGUGCUUAACACAUGCAAGUCGAACGAAGUGGCGAACGGGUGAGUAACGCGUAAUCAACCUGCCCUUCAGAGGGGGACAACAGUUGGAAACGACUGCUAAUACCGCAUACUGAAGGAGGGGAUUGCGUCUGAUUAGCUAGGUGGGGGGGUAACGGCCCACCAAGGCGAUGAUCAGUAGCCGGUUUGGGAGGAGGGACGACCACAUCUGGACUGGGGCAAGGCCCAGACUCCUUCGGGAGGGAGCAGUUGGGAAACUUCCGAAAUGGAGGGAAGGCUGACGCAGCAACGCCGGGGGAGUGAUGGCGGCCUUCCGGUUGGAAAGCUCUGUUAAGCGGGACGCGGUACCGGAAUAGAAAGCCACGGCUAACUACGUGCCAGCAGCCGCGGUAAUAC
This 408-nucleotide ribosomal RNA is filed under the name uncultured bacterium. RNAcentral's name for it is "partial 16S ribosomal RNA". It matches the Rfam family "Bacterial small subunit ribosomal RNA", at positions 28 to 526 of the family's 1533-position model. The record is from RNAcentral.